This 496-nucleotide ribosomal RNA is filed under the name uncultured bacterium. RNAcentral's name for it is "partial 16S ribosomal RNA". It matches the Rfam family "Bacterial small subunit ribosomal RNA", at positions 29 to 507 of the family's 1533-position model. The record is from RNAcentral.
AUGAACGCUGGCGGCGUGCCUAAUACAUGCAAGUCGAGCGAACAGAUGAGGAGCUUGCUCCUCUGACGUUAGCGGCGGACGGGUGAGUAACACGUGGAUAACCUACCUAUAAGACUGGGAUAACUUCGGGAAACCGGAGCUAAUACCGGAUAAUAUAUUGAACCGCAUGGUUCAAUAGUGUAAGACGGUUUUGCUGUCACUUAUAGAUGGAUCCGCGCCGCAUUAGCUAGUUGGUAAGGUAACGGCUUACCAAGGCAACGAUGCGUAGCCGACCUGAGAGGGUGAUCGGCCACACUGGAACUGAGACACGGUCCAGACUCCUACGGGAGGCAGCAGUAGGGAAUCUUCCGCAAUGGGCGAAAGCCUGACGGAGCAACGCCGCGUGAGUGAUGAAGGUCUUCGGAUCGUAAAACUCUGUUAUUAGGGAAGAACAAAUGUGUAAGUAACUAUGCACGUCUUGACGGUACCUAAUCAGAAAGCCACGGCUAACUACGUG